This 497-nucleotide ribosomal RNA is filed under the name uncultured bacterium. RNAcentral's name for it is "partial 16S ribosomal RNA". It matches the Rfam family "Bacterial small subunit ribosomal RNA", at positions 28 to 507 of the family's 1533-position model. The record is from RNAcentral.
GGUGAACGCUGGCGGCGUGCCUAAUACAUGCAAGUCGAGCGAACGGACGAGAAGCUUGCUUUUCUGAUGUUAGCGGCGGACGGGUGAGUAACACGUGGAUAACCUACCUAUAAGACUGGGAGAACUUCGGGAAACCGGAGCUAAUACCGGAUAAUAUUUUGAACCGCAUGGUUCAAAAGUGAAAGACGGUCUUGCUGUCACUUAUAGAUGGAUCCGCGCUGCAUUAGCUAGUUGGUAAGGUAACGGCUUACCAAGGCAACGAUGCAUAGCCGACCUGAGAGGGUGAUCGGCCACACUGGAACUGAGACACGGUCCAGACUCCUACGGGAGGCAGCAGUAGGGAAUCUUCCGCAAUGGGCGAAAGCCUGACGGAGCAACGCCGCGUGAGUGAUGAAGGUCUUCGUAUCGUAAAACUCUGUUAUUAGGGAAGAACAUAUGUGUAAGUAACUGUGCACAUCUUGACGGUACCUAAUCAGAAAGCCACGGCUAACUACGUG